GGGGUACACGAGCGGCGAACGGGUGAGUAACACGUGGGUGAUCUGCCUCGCACUUCGGGAUAAGCCUGGGAAACUGGGUCUAAUACCGGAUAUGACCUUUCAGUGCAUGCUGUUGGGUGGAAAGAUUUAUCGGUGCGAGAUGGGCCCGCGGCCUAUCAGCUUGUUGGCGGGGUAACGGCCCACCAAGGCGACGACGGGUAGCCGACCUGAGAGGGUGACCGGCCACACUGGGACUGAGACACGGCCCAGACUCCUACGGGAGGCAGCAGUGGGGAAUAUUGCACAAUGGGCGGAAGCCUGAUGCAGCGACGCCGCGUGAGGGAUGACGGCCUUCGGGUUGUAAACCUCUUUCGACAGGGACGAAGCGCAAGUGACGGUACCUGUAGAAGAAGCACCGGCCAACUACGUGCCAGCAGCCGCGGUAAUACGUAGGGUGCGAGCGUUGUCCGGAAUUACUGGGCGUAAAGAGCUUGUAGGCGGUUUGUCGCGUCGUCCGUGAAAACUUGGGGCUCAACCCCAAGCUUGCGGGCGAUACGGGCAGACUUGAGUACUUCAGGGGAGACUGGAAUUCCUGGUGUAGCGGUGAAAUGCGCAGAUAUCAGGAGGAACACCGGUGGCGAAGGCGGGUCUCUGGGAAGUAACUGACGCUGAGAAGCGAAAGCGUGGGUAGCGAACAGGAUUAGAUACCCUGGUAGUCCACGCCGUAAACGGUGGGUACUAGGUGUGGGUUUCCUUCCACGGGAUCCGUGCCGUAGCUAACGCAUUAAGUACCCCGCCUGGGGAGUACGGCCGCAAGGCUAAAACUCAAAGGAAUUGACGGGGGCCCGCACAAGCGGCGGAGCAUGUGGAUUAAUUCGAUGCAACGCGAAGAACCUUACCUGGGUUUGACAUACACCGGAAACCUGCAGAGAUGUAGGCCCCCUUGUGGUCGGUGUACAGGUGGUGCAUGGCUGUCGUCAGCUCGUGUCGUGAGAUGUUGGGUUAAGUCCCGCAACGAGCGCAACCCUUGUCCUGUGUUGCCAGCGCGUAAUGGCGGGGACUCGCAGGAGACUGCCGGGGUCAACUCGGAGGAAGGUGGGGACGACGUCAAGUCAUCAUGCCCCUUAUGUCCAGGGCUUCACACAUGCUACAAUGGCCGGUACAGAGGGCUGCGAUACCGUGAGGUGGAGCGAAUCCCUUAAAGCCGGUCUCAGUUCGGAUCGGGGUCUGCAACUCGACCCCGUGAAGUUGGAGUCGCUAGUAAUCGCAGAUCAGCAACGCUGCGGUGAAUACGUUCCCGGGCCUUGUACACACCGCCCGUCACGUCAUGAAAAGUCGGUAACACCCGAAGCCGGUGGCCUAACCCCUUG
RNAcentral lists this ribosomal RNA (1349 nucleotides) under Nocardia brasiliensis. RNAcentral describes it as "bacterial SSU rRNA". It matches the Rfam family "Bacterial small subunit ribosomal RNA", at positions 84 to 1445 of the family's 1533-position model. Lineage: Bacteria; Bacillati; Actinomycetota; Actinomycetes; Mycobacteriales; Nocardiaceae. The record is from RNAcentral.